GAUAACCGAAGAUAACAGCCGGGUUCAGUGUCGGGUUCGUAAUGAUCCGCACGUCACCACCGCCGGGUGCCCAACUAUCAUAAACACCACCGACAAACAUGGCUUUGAUUACGAGCAGUAAAGCACCUAGACCUAAAACAAUCAGGUGGAACCCGAUGAUUGUGGUCAUCUUGUUCUUAUCUUUCCA
Molecule: antisense RNA, 187 nt
Filed under: Coleofasciculus chthonoplastes PCC 7420
Lineage: Bacteria; Bacillati; Cyanobacteriota; Cyanophyceae; Coleofasciculales; Coleofasciculaceae
Description: Microcoleus chthonoplastes PCC 7420 Antisense RNA which regulates isiA expression
Rfam family: Antisense RNA which regulates isiA expression
Source: Rfam by way of RNAcentral